This 333-nucleotide unclassified non-coding RNA is filed under the name soil metagenome. Its description in RNAcentral is "partial contains 5.8S ribosomal RNA, internal transcribed spacer 2, and large subunit ribosomal RNA". The stretch from base 1 to 120 matches the Rfam family "5.8S ribosomal RNA", at positions 35 to 154 of the family's 154-position model. The record is from RNAcentral.
GAUGAAGAACGUAGCGAAAUGCGAUAAGUAAUGUGAAUUGCAGAAUUCAGUGAAUCAUCGAAUCUUUGAACGCACAUUGCGCCCGCCGGUAUUCUGGCGGGCAUGCCUGUUCGAGCGUCAUUUCAACCAUCAAGCCCUGCUUGCGUUGGGGUCCUGCGGCUGCCCGCAGGCCCUGAAAACCAGUGGCGGGCUCGCUAGUCACACCGAGCGCAGUAAUACAUCUCGCUUUGGGCGUGCGGCGGGUUCUUGCCGUUAAACACCCCCUUUUUACCAAGGUUGACCUCGGAUCAGGUAGGAAUACCCGCUGAACUUAAGCAUAUCAUAAGCGGAGGA